AGAAACGGACGGAUGGACAGAAGGAAGGAGGGAAGGCAAGAAGCUGCCAGUGCUGGUCCCACAAGUAGCAACCUGGAUCCUGAAGGCAUCUUUCCUGGAAGUUUUACUAAAAGAUGAUCCAAACACCUAACUAUACUGAUUUAAAACAGCACCACCAAUAACAACAACAAACCUAAGGCCCAGAGGCACAGUGUUUGGACCAGCCCAGGAGCCCUCACUCACAAGCACUUCUAUCGGACUUAGCUGAUCCCUCAGAAGACCCUGGACACCACAAAGGGUCAUCAGCACAAUCUUGAUGGAUGUCUAAGAAGUAAAGGUUGAUUUUUGCCUAAUGACAAUAAAGUCAUGCCUAAGUGAAA
Macaca mulatta (Rhesus monkey) is the source of this 359-nucleotide long non-coding RNA. RefSeq lists it as uncharacterized. Lineage: Eukaryota; Metazoa; Chordata; Mammalia; Primates; Cercopithecidae. The record is from RefSeq and is a predicted model, not a curated record.